UGCAUGUGAUGGUAUCCAUCGAGAUAGUUUGGGCACAUUUUUCGGUGGUUUGGCAUCUUAUAUUGAUAUUCUUAUCGUUAUGUGUUGAACUAGUUGCAGUGAAACAUGCACGUGAAGUAGGUUGGAAUAGUCUUUGGCUGGAAUGUGACUCUAUGUUGAUUUUGGUUGCUUAAGAGAAUCCAUCCUUGGUGUCUUGGAUCAUUAAAGUGUUUGUCUCGUGGGAUACUUCACCAGCUUUUGGAGGCAUCAGGAUUCUCAGCAGACCAAGAAUUCCAGUACCCUUCCCUGAUCCCUCUGGAGAUUACAUUGUUCUCAUUGGAGAUUGGUGUCUCCAGACUUAUAUGGAGACAGUAAAACGAGAUUAACUGGCUUUUGGAAAGUCCAAGGAGAUCAAAAAUCUGUUGGAUGCUUUAAUGUGCUGUGCCCGGGUUUUAUCCAAGUCCAUCAAACUGUUGGCUUUGGAACUAUCCUUGAGCCUUCUCAAACUGGAUCGACAAUAAAAUUAUAUUUAAAUUUUAUAAUCGAACAGGUA
Cajanus cajan (pigeon pea) is the source of this 532-nucleotide non-coding RNA. The record is from RefSeq and is a predicted model, not a curated record. Lineage: Eukaryota; Viridiplantae; Streptophyta; Magnoliopsida; Fabales; Fabaceae.